Molecule: long non-coding RNA, 2499 nt
Organism: Passer domesticus (house sparrow)
Lineage: Eukaryota; Metazoa; Chordata; Aves; Passeriformes; Passeridae
Exons: 3
Source: RefSeq, a predicted model, not a curated record
AGCCUCGGGCAGUGCGGAGCCACAAACGGGACUGUCCGUCCGCAAGGCACAGCGCCAGGGCAAAGCACAGCUCAGGCGCAGCCUGACCAGGAAGGGAACGCUCCCGUGCACUGCUAGGUGUUUUGAUUGCCAGUCCUGCGCUGAGCUGGCAGGCCACAAAGCCUCCUCAAGCACCGCUGCCUCCUCUCCAGGCUUCCUGCACUUCCUUUGCUGACAGGGUCCCAGCAGCCCGGCUGCAGGCAGGCUCAGCUGAUGUUACAAAGCGCUGCUGUCCAAAAGAAAAAAAGACAAAAGGCAAACCAGAAAGGAGCUAUUUGUUGCCAGGCUGAAUUCCUCACAGGCGGAGGCAGGAUUCCUCUUGUUCCCAGAAAGGUGCAGAAAAUGCGCCCCGUACAUUCAUGUCUAUGACCAGGCUAUUGCAGGUCAGCGUGACUCACAAUCGUUACCCAGGUGUCUUCAGCUGGUUGGGAUUUUCCCCUGAGAGCAGCCUGAGAAUGCUGCUUGCCGUCACAGGCCUUUGAUCCUUCCAGGAAACUCCACAGACCCAUUUAGCUUCCUCCUUUCUAGGACAUGGCCCGGGUUAACUGCCAAGAGGAUGAGCAGUGCCUUGGAUGAACUGCUGCUCUUGACCUGCGGCCUUCUCCUGUUACCCAUGAGGCUGGCACCUGAGGCAUUUGUGAGGAGGUCUAGAACAAAAUGACACAGGAGAAAUCCACAGAACCUGCGCUUGGGAUCGUUUGCCCCGUUUGGUGCUUGCAAGUGUCCGCAGCAGACGUGGAGUUGGCAGUUCAGUCAGCUAUGCGGCCCAGAAAGGAAAAGGCUCCGUUAGCUGAGGGAAACCAAUUUACUCAGCACCUGCAGGCCAGAAAUGAGGGUGCAGCAAAUGACUGAAAAACACAGUAUAUGAUACAGCACAUAUCCUCAAUGGGCAUGCCAGAGAUUUCAAACCCACAUCCAUGCAGGAAUGUGACCUUGCAGCUAUCGCACAAGCCAAAGGGAGUGGCUUUUUGCAAAGACACCAGGAGCUCAGUGUGGGACACAGAACUUUUUCAAGAGGUGGACUGACCUGGGAGCUGGUGGAAGCGGAGAGAAGGGGCAAAUGCGCCCAUGGGUGCACCCACACUCUGAGGGCUGCUCCAAGGGCACCCCCUGCCAUGCACAGGACAUGGGCACUGCCCCGUGCAGAGGACAUGUCCCUGCCAUAUUGACAACACCAACACUGCUCCAGUGUCAUGCAAACACACAUGGGUGGUUUGUUAGUUGCCAUGUUUUCCCCACUACAAAAUCAUUCUUCCUUCUGUGAAUCCUGCAAUGUGCUGGUUGAUGUUAACCCUGCAGGAAAUGGGCAGGAGUGACAGGCAUUGCAAUUCAGGGAACUAGUUUUAGUCAGAAGCAUUGGUGGCCAAAGUACAGGGUGUGUGAACUUGGUGCCCGUUCUGCGUUACUCUUGGAUCCUUUCAGCUACGGGUUAUGCACUGCAAGCGGGUUUUGCGCUGUUUUGGGACAGCGUGCGCCCUUUCAAAGGAGUCCUUUUUGUCGCCUGAUGUUGUAAAGUCUGUGGACAAAUGCAGGCAUCCUUUUUUAUCGCCCCUGCGACUGUAGGGUUUGCAGACUGGAGCAGCACUGAUGAAAUGAUGGAGUGAAUCUGUAGAGCAGUUGGCAGGCCUUUCUUGCUGGUGUCAUCCCACAAAGUUUUUUAUGGUCCCAUGGGUAAGUAGAAGUAUUUUUGCUGGGGCAGCAGAUUGAAACAAAAAUGGCAUAAAGAUGCCAUAUGUUUGGUAAAGCUCCUGCCAAGAGCCUGAGCAAAAAAUGGGGUGUCUCUUGCCCAGCAGGGUGUGUGCGGGUAUCCUUCUUUUUCCCUGUGGCUGUAGACUCUGCAGACACAUGGAGGUGUCACUUUUUCUUCCUUUCUCUUGUACAGUCUGUGGAUUUGUGCAGGUGUUUCUUUUUUCCUUCCCUCUUUUGCUGUACACUCUCCAAAAUUGUGCAAGCAUCCUUAUUUUUCCAUUGUAGUUGCAUGGUCUGGGGCUUGUGCAAGGGUGCAUUUUUGUCCUCGUUUCACUGCAUGCACUGGGCAUUCUUGCAAGUGGUGCUUUUUCCCUUUUUGUUUCAUGGUGUGUGGACUGGAGCAGCAUAGCUCAAAUGAUGAAGUGAGUCCAUAGAGGAGUGGGCAGCACUUUUCCCGGCCCGAGCUCUGCUGUUAAACAGAGCGGCCGCCUGACCCGAGCCGCCGGUGCCCCGUUCAGAUGGGGAUGCCCGGCCUGGGUCCCUUGCGGGCCGUAGGGGGGAGGUCGGGGACCGUUCCCGGCCCUGGUCCAACACGGACAGCUGCGUCUCGGCUGCAGGGAAAGCGCAGGAGGCCCUGCAAGAGCGAUUCCGCUGGGAUCGCUGCUGCUGCGCGGUGGCUUCGGCACCGUCUACUCAGGGACGUGCCCCACAGAUGGCGCCCCAGUGGGUGGAGGGGCUGAGAUGGGGCGGUGGAGGGGGAGUGCGGAGGAA